Non-coding RNA from Podarcis lilfordi (Lilford's wall lizard), 149 nucleotides. The record is from the annotation of a GenBank genome assembly. Lineage: Eukaryota; Metazoa; Chordata; Lepidosauria; Squamata; Lacertidae.
UGUCCAGUAGCACCUUAGAGACCAACUAAGUUUGUUCUUGGUAUAAGCUUUCGUGUGCAUGCACACUUCUUCAGAAAACUUAUACCAAUAUGCACACGAAAGCUUAUACCAAGAACAAACUUAGUUGGUCUCUAAGGUGCUACUGGACA